GGUGGCUCAGUGGUAGAGCUCUUGCCUUGCAUGCAUAAGGCCCUGGGUUCAAUUCCUCAGCACCA
RNAcentral lists this transfer RNA (65 nucleotides) under Dipodomys ordii (Ord's kangaroo rat). It matches the Rfam family "tRNA". From Rfam's summary of the family: Transfer RNA (tRNA) molecules are approximately 80 nucleotides in length. Their secondary structure includes four short double-helical elements and three loops (D, anti-codon, and T loops). Lineage: Eukaryota; Metazoa; Chordata; Mammalia; Rodentia; Heteromyidae. The record is from Rfam by way of RNAcentral.